RNAcentral lists this ribosomal RNA (216 nucleotides) under Glomeromycotina sp. Its description in RNAcentral is "partial small subunit ribosomal RNA". The stretch from base 75 to 216 matches the Rfam family "Eukaryotic small subunit ribosomal RNA", at positions 721 to 864 of the family's 1831-position model. Lineage: Eukaryota; Fungi; Glomeromycota. The record is from RNAcentral.
GGGUCAGUAGGUUGGUCGUGCCACCGGUACGUACUGGUCUCACUGAUUCCCCCUUCCUGAAGAACCGUAAUGCCAUUAAUUUGGUGUUGCGGGGAAACAGGACUGUUACUUUGAAAAAAUUAGAGUGUUUAAAGCAAGCUAACGCUUGAAUACAUUAGCAUGGAAUAAUGAAAUAGGACGAUCGAUCCUAUUUUGCUGGUUUCUAGGAUUGACGUA